Molecule: non-coding RNA, 73 nt
Organism: Stegodyphus mimosarum
Lineage: Eukaryota; Metazoa; Arthropoda; Arachnida; Araneae; Eresidae
Source: Rfam
GCCUUCGUGGUGUAAUGGGCAGCACACUGAGCCGGUAUUUCAGAGGUCCGUGGUUCGAUUCCCGGCGAAGGAA